AUUGAACGCUAGCGGGAUGCUUUACACAUGCAAGUCGAACGGCAGCGCGGACUUCGGUCUGGCGGCGAGUGGCGAACGGGUGAGUAAUGUAUCGGAACGUGCCCAGUAGCGGGGGAUAACUACGCGAAAGCGUAGCUAAUACCGCAUACGCCCUACGGGGGAAAGCAGGGGAUCGUAAGACCUUGCACUAUUGGAGCGGCCGAUAUCGGAUUAGCUAGUUGGUGAGGUAACGGCUCACCAAGGCGACGAUCCGUAGCUGGUUUGAGAGGACGACCAGCCACACUGGGACUGAGACACGGCCCAGACUCCUACGGGAGGCAGCAGUGGGGAAUUUUGGACAAGGGGGGCAACCCUGAUCCAGCCAUCCCGCGUGUGCGAUGAAGGCCUUCGGGUUGUAAAGCACUUUUGGCAGGAAAGAAACGUCGCGGGCUAAUACCCCGUGGAACUGACGGUACCUGCAGAAUAAGCACCGGCUAACUACGUG
This 484-nucleotide ribosomal RNA is filed under the name uncultured bacterium. Its description in RNAcentral is "partial 16S ribosomal RNA". It matches the Rfam family "Bacterial small subunit ribosomal RNA", at positions 30 to 507 of the family's 1533-position model. The record is from RNAcentral.